Molecule: long non-coding RNA, 1015 nt
Organism: Saccostrea cuccullata (small rock oyster)
Lineage: Eukaryota; Metazoa; Mollusca; Bivalvia; Ostreida; Ostreidae
Exons: 6
Source: RefSeq, a predicted model, not a curated record
CCACGGAGGAUAUAUUAUCUGGCUUAGGGAGACCGCUGGAUUAAGGCGACCUUUUCUGGUCUCCCUUAUAUUUUGACCUCAUGAGUAUUGCAAAUGACGUGUUUUAGGUAAAUAAACAGUCUUUCAUUAAAUAAAAGUUAUCUUUGUGUCUGUGAUUUAACAUUUAAAAGUUGUCUAAUUUCUAUCAUCUUACCUAAAAAAGAAAAGAAUGUGUUACCUGUGUAUAAUUUCAAAGGAUAUUUUUUCAGCAUUAUGCAGACCACGGAAAACAUGCAAUAAAAUGAAAAAUCUUGCAUAUAAUUUUUUUUCACCGUUUGAUGUGUUCAAAUGAGUGUUUUUUCAACUUAUUUUUCCAUUUUUUAUGUUAAAAAACUUAAGAGGAAAAAUAAUGAAAAUUUAUGCACCAAGUUCUGAAUUCUUAGCAAGUGCUUUCCGUCAUUUGUUCCGAAUACCAUCGGAAUGCCUCUUCAGUUUUCAGAGAAUGACCUUUGAACACCGUGAAUGUUGUGAAAGAGUUGUAUUGCGUGACAGAUAACCAGAAUGUUGGAUUGCAGGGAAGAACGAAGAGCCUCGAAACAACUUUGAGGGUCUAUGAUAGAAUUUUGUGGACCCAAGUGGAAAGAGAGGAAAUCUUAGCUCCAGGGUCAACAUGUCUUUAUUCCAAGAAAGAGUGGCCUGGUUGAUUCAAUUAGGAAAGAACAGGAAAAAUCAGUGCUAAUGCUCAUUGGUCAUUGGACAAAGGGGUGUAUGCCAGAAUGUUUUGAAGAACAGUCUGAAUCUAACAUGGAAAAAAUGAGGAAAAACAGCCUUCCUGCUUACAAAUCUAUAUUCUGACAAAGGGGGUGUAUGCCAGAUUCUUUCGAAGAACAGUCUGAAUUUAACAUGGAAAAAAUGAGGAAAAACAGCCUUCCUGCUAAUCUAUAUUCUGACAAAGGGUAAUUUUGUUUUUAAUUCAAUUAAAAGUACACUUAUAAUUAUGCUUGCAUCCCUUUCAAAAAAGGGAAGACAUAUUGCU